This 223-nucleotide long non-coding RNA is filed under the name Physcomitrium patens. RNAcentral's name for it is "long non-coding RNA (PPAT_LNC007867)". The record is from RNAcentral. Lineage: Eukaryota; Viridiplantae; Streptophyta; Bryopsida; Funariales; Funariaceae.
UCAAACAAAUAAUAAGAAUUCUUAAAGAAAUAUUAGAAGGAUCACAAAUAUCACUCAAAUAUAUCUCAAUUCAAUCUUAAUUUAAUUCUAGUUAAAAUCAUAUUGAACAUCAUUCAAAAUUUAGGUCAAAACUAAUUAAAUCUUAAAUCCUAAUAAAAUCCUAAAUCCUAAAUCAAACCCUAAACAAACCUUAAAUCAAACCUCAAUUAAAUCCUAAACCAAA